Molecule: RNA transcript, 1445 nt
Organism: Juglans regia (Persian walnut)
Lineage: Eukaryota; Viridiplantae; Streptophyta; Magnoliopsida; Fagales; Juglandaceae
Gene name: protein NTM1-like 9
Exons: 3
Source: RefSeq, a predicted model, not a curated record
CGCGGCUCGACUUUAUAUAUAUCCACACAAGUGACAAUGGUCAAGAGUCAAGACCACACCACUUCCACACAUCUUUCCUCUCUUCCUUUCCUUCCUUAAUUCCUCACUUUCUGCAGCUGGUGUUUGUGUGAGUGAUGGGUGAAUUGCCUCCAAACCUGAAACAAUGGAUGAGAUUCAGUCCCUCGGACGAGAAGGUCAUGGAUUUCUUGAGGUCCAAAAUCACUGGGAAUGAUCGUGAAGUUGACUUCAUUUACGAAGCCCAGAAUUGCGGAUGGGAACCCUGGGAUUUGAGAAAUUUGUGCCUAUUCUGGUGGUAUAUAUGCGGCAUAAAGCUGGAUUAUCCAGAGUGGUGGCUCUUCUUGCCACAGGAUCGGAAUGGGAAGCGAUCAAAAAGGUCAACCAAUGCUGGAUUCUGGAAAGUGACGGGUCAGCCAAAGAAAAUCAUGUCGGACUCAGGAUUGAUCGGCAAGAAAAACUUUCUGGUAUUCUAUACAGGGACUCGUCCAGGCAAUAUAACCCAUUGGGUAAUGCACGAGUACUGCACAACCCUGAAGGAACUCGAUGGCACCCUCCCCGGUCAGGUUAGUUUCUGGUUUUUGGUCUCUAGUUUGUUUUUUUCUUUUUUUUAAAAAAAACACUAGUUGUAGAUCUGCAUUGAGGAGUAAAGGAAGGGUUUAAUUAGUGUACAUGCAUGGACCCUUAUCAGAUGUAAAAAUACUGGGUAAAAAUACUGUUCAUAUCAGAUGUAUGUAUACAAAUUAUUUUGCAUAACCAAGAAGAUGGGUGGAGAGGCUGAGCAGGACAGUGAAUUGGUUCAAUGACAAAAGGGGUCGAGUUCAUAAUCCCUGACAAUGGUGCGUGGGGAAGGGCUGUCGUCCACCAAUAUUUCAUUCCAUCUGAGGGAUUCCAGAAUCUAGGCGGCAAUGAAGUACCUGAUUGAGUCAAGCGCAGCUGCACCAAGGCCUUUAUAUCAUUAGGCCCAUCUGAGGGUCCCAUGCAAAGUAGCCGAGGCGGCAGGAGAAGUGGACGUGGAGGAGGGAGGAUGCAGGGGUUAUGGUGGGAGUUGUUACAAGCGUGGUGAAAUUGUGAGGGACUGUUAUAAUAAGAGCGGACGCCGUUUUGGGAAAUUGGAUUGGCUUGAUCUCUUAUAGAAAAAUUAAUCUAGGAGCUGCACCAAGGCCCUUGAUAUCAUUAGGCCCAUCUGAGGGUCCUAUGCAAACUAGCCGAGGCGGCAGGAGAAGUGGACGUGGAGGAGGGAGGAUGCCAGGGGUUAUGGUGGGAGUUGUUACAAGUGUGGUGAAAUUGUGAGGGACUGUUAUAAUAAGAGCGGAUGCCGCUUUAGGAAAUUGGAUUGGCUUGAUCUCUUAUAUAAAAAUUAAUGUAGGAGGUUAAGACAAUUUAAUAACUUAAAUAUAAUUUCAAGUUUUCAAUAAAUUGUAUAUAUU